GGCGACGUUCCCGAGCGGCUAAGGGCGCGGUCUGCAAAACCGUUGUUCACCGGUUCAAGUCCGGUCGUCGCCU
This 73-nucleotide transfer RNA is filed under the name Spirochaetota bacterium. Its description in RNAcentral is "Spirochaetes bacterium (wastewater metagenome) tRNA-Cys". It matches the Rfam family "tRNA". From Rfam's summary of the family: Transfer RNA (tRNA) molecules are approximately 80 nucleotides in length. Their secondary structure includes four short double-helical elements and three loops (D, anti-codon, and T loops). Lineage: Bacteria; Pseudomonadati; Spirochaetota. The record is from RNAcentral. RNAcentral also lists the same sequence under 1 other name.